UCUGGGAUUAGAUACCCUGUUAUUUAAAAUGUAACUAUAAAUACUUGAGUAGUAAUAGUUAUGAUCUUUAAACUUAAAAAAUUUGGCGGUAUUUUAGUCUAUUCAGAGGAACCUGUUUUGUAAUCGAUAGUCCACGAUGUACCUUACUUAAAUUUGUUUAUCAGUUUAUAUACCGUCGUUAUAGAAUAUUUUAUAAGAAGAAUAAUUUUCAAUAAUUAAAAUAAUAAUAUAUGUCAGAUCAAGGUGUAGCUUAUAUUUAAGUAAUAAUGGGUUACAUUAAAAUUAUUUAUAUGAAUAUAAAUAUGAAAAAUUUAUUGAAAGUGGAUUUGAAAGUAAAAUUAAAUAGAUUAUUAAUUUGAUUAUAGCUCUAAAAUGUGUACAAAUCGCCCGUCACUCUCUGA
This 401-nucleotide ribosomal RNA is filed under the name Seri obscuripennis. RNAcentral's name for it is "partial 12S ribosomal RNA". Lineage: Eukaryota; Metazoa; Arthropoda; Insecta; Diptera; Platypezidae. The record is from RNAcentral.